AGCACUAAGCUUAGCGGGUAAGCCUAGUGCUAGAAACACCAGGUUGGUGCGGGUUCGAAACCUGCAGUGCUG
This is a non-coding RNA of Trichophaea hybrida, 72 nucleotides long. The record is from the annotation of a GenBank genome assembly. NCBI's taxonomy places the organism in Eukaryota, Fungi, Ascomycota, Pezizomycetes, Pezizales, Pyronemataceae.